GAUGAAGAACGUAGCGAAAUGCGAUAAGUAGUGUGAAUUGCAGAAUUCAGUGAAUCAUCGAAUCUUUGAACGCACAUUGCGCCCCCUGGUAUUCCGGGGGGCAUGCCUGUCCGAGCGUCAUUGCUGCCCUCAAGCACGGCUUGUGUGUUGGGCCCCGUCCUCCGAUCCCGGGGGACGGGCCCGAAAGGCAGCGGCGGCACCGCGUCCGGUCCUCGAGCGUAUGGGGCUUUGUCACCCGCUCUGUAGGCCCGGCCGGCGCUUGCCGAUCAACCCAAAUUUUUUAUCCAGGUUGACCUCGGAUCAGGUAGGGAUGCCCGCUGAACUUAAGCAUAUCAAUAAGCGGAGGA
This 347-nucleotide unclassified non-coding RNA is filed under the name soil metagenome. Its description in RNAcentral is "partial contains 5.8S ribosomal RNA, internal transcribed spacer 2, and large subunit ribosomal RNA". The stretch from base 1 to 120 matches the Rfam family "5.8S ribosomal RNA", at positions 35 to 154 of the family's 154-position model. The record is from RNAcentral.